GUCACGUUCAAUAUGAAUGUACUCCUACAUUCUAACUGUAUGCUAUAACAGUAUCUCCAUACUCCUUGGUUAAGAGGACAACCAACUUAUAUGGCACACAAUGAUCUAAACUCGAUAUUGCUAUCAUCAUAUUAAUAGCAUAUCAUUUGAUCACGAACACUUUUAAGAACUCAAUGACAAAUCUUUCUUUAUCGAUUAAUUAUAGUCUUAAGG
RNAcentral lists this long non-coding RNA (213 nucleotides) under Elaeis guineensis (African oil palm). RNAcentral describes it as "long non-coding RNA (EGUI_LNC074746)". The record is from RNAcentral. Lineage: Eukaryota; Viridiplantae; Streptophyta; Magnoliopsida; Arecales; Arecaceae.